GACGAACGCUGGCGGCGUGCCUAAUACAUGCAAGUUGAGCGCUGAAGGUUGGUACUUGUACCGACUGGAUGAGCAGCGAACGGGUGAGUAACGCGUGGGGAAUCUGCCUUUGAGCGGGGGACAACAUUUGGAAACGAAUGCUAAUACCGCAUAAAAACUUUAAACACAAGUUUUAAGUUUGAAAGAUGCAAUUGCAUCACUCAAAGAUGAUCCCGCGUUGUAUUAGCUAGUUGGUGAGGUAAAGGCUCACCGAGGCGAUGAUACAUAGCCGACCUGAGAGGAUGAUCGGCAACAAUGGGGCUGAGAAACGGCCCAAACUCCUAAGGGAGGCAGCAGUAGGGAAUCAUCGGCAAUGGACGAAAGUCUGACAGAGCAACGCCGCGUGAGUGAAGAAGGUUUUCGGAUCGUAAAACGCUGUUGGUAGAGAAGAACGUUGGUGAGAGUGGAAAGCUCAUCAAGUGACGGUAACUACCCAGAAAGGGACGGAUAACUACGUG
Molecule: ribosomal RNA, 497 nt
Filed under: uncultured bacterium
Lineage: Bacteria
Description: partial 16S ribosomal RNA
Rfam family: Bacterial small subunit ribosomal RNA
Source: RNAcentral